AACAAAUAGGUUUAUGAAGUUAGAGUGUUACUGGGGAACUUUGCAUGCAAGACAGAACAGCGUUAAGAACAUGUGCGAUAUGAUGUGGUGUAAUAAAUCUCUCAACAUAGUUAUGUUUCUUCUUUUUUUUUUUUUUUUUACUCUUAUUAAUACUAUUGUAACGUUGUACAAGAACAAAACCAUGUGAUUAUCGUACUGGCUUAGAAAAAAAUAUAAUAUAUUGAUAAAUUUUAUAAUUUUUCUAGAAGUCAUGUGUGCAAAUCUCUUGAAGCAAAAUGAAUAUUAUAUAUGUGCAUCCUUGAUUACGUUUCUGUACGUAAUAGUAAAUGCAAUACCAAGAUGGCAAGUU
Molecule: long non-coding RNA, 349 nt
Filed under: Capsella rubella
Lineage: Eukaryota; Viridiplantae; Streptophyta; Magnoliopsida; Brassicales; Brassicaceae
Description: long non-coding RNA (CRUB_LNC003924)
Source: RNAcentral